GACGAACGCUGGCGGCGUGCUUAACACAUGCAAGUCGAACGGUAAGGCCCUUCGGGGUACACGAGUGGCGAACGGGUGAGUAACACGUGGGUGAUCUGCCCUGCACUUCGGGAUAAGCCUGGGAAACUGGGUCUAAUACCGGAUAGGACCCUGGGAUGCAUGUCCUGGGGUGGAAAGCUUUUGCGGUGUGGGAUGGGCCCGCGGCCUAUCAGCUUGUUGGUGGGGUGAUGGCCUACCAAGGCGACGACGGGUAGCCGGCCUGAGAUGGUGACCGGCCACACUGGGACUGUGAUACGGCCCAGACUCCUACGGGAGGCAGCAGUGGGGAAUAUUGCACAAUGGGCGCAAGCCUGAUGCAGCGACGCCGCGUGAGGGAUGACGGCCUUCGGGUUGUAAACCUCUUUCGGCACCGACGAAGCGCAAGUGACGGUAGGUGCAGAAGAAGGACCGGCCAACUACGUGCCAGCAGCCGCGGUAA
RNAcentral lists this ribosomal RNA (478 nucleotides) under uncultured bacterium. Its description in RNAcentral is "partial 16S ribosomal RNA". It matches the Rfam family "Bacterial small subunit ribosomal RNA", at positions 28 to 523 of the family's 1533-position model. The record is from RNAcentral.